CCUACGGGAGGCAGCAGUGAGGAAUAUUGGUCAAUGGGCGUAAGCCUGAACCAGCGAAGUCGCGUGAGGGAUGAAGGUUCUAUGGAUCGUAAACCUCUUUUAUAAGGGAAUAAAUUGCGGGACGUGUCCCGUUUUGUAUGUCCCUUAUGAAUAAGGCUCGGCUAACUCUGUGCCAGCAGCCGCGGUAAUACGGAGGGUCCGAGCGUUAUCCGGAUUUAUUGGGUUUAAAGGGUGCGUAGGCGGCCUUGUAAGUCAGCGGUGAAAGGCGGUGGCUCAACCAUAGGAUUGCCGUUGAAACUGGGAGGCUGGAGUAUGUGUGAGGCAGGCGGAAUGCGUGGUGUAGCGGUGAAAUGCUUAGAUAUCACGAAGAACCCCGAUGGCGAAGGCAGCCUGCCAAGCCAUGACUGACGCUGAUGCACGAAAGCGUGGGGAUCAAACAGGAUUAGAUACCCUGGUAGUC
RNAcentral lists this ribosomal RNA (460 nucleotides) under uncultured bacterium. RNAcentral's name for it is "partial 16S ribosomal RNA". It matches the Rfam family "Bacterial small subunit ribosomal RNA", at positions 338 to 795 of the family's 1533-position model. The record is from RNAcentral.